GUAAAUGCUUUUUCACAAUUAGAUUCUGAAAUUGAACACUUUUAAGAACUUUCCCGCGCGGACUCAUAUUUUUUUCGGUUGUGGAGAAUGAGCUUAGAAAUGAAUGCAAAAGGAAAAGACAAACUUCAGGCCUGCCAACUUGUGCAAAAGGCACAGUCAAAUAGGGAAAGAAUGCGUGUCUCACACAACUUGGCGCUUCGACAGCCCUAGAACAUAACGGUGACUAGCAAAAGGAGAGCAAAAAAUGGACGCCAAGCGAAUGGGGCCAAAAGGAACUUGCAAAGAGUUUUCUUGCUUAUGGUUUGUAUUCUAUAUAUUAGAGCACAUUUUGCUCUCUUAAGAAGAAAAUGGAAUAGACCACAACAAACCGAAAGCGAAGAAGAAUGGAACAAGUAAAUUGAGUUUUCUCGUUAGUAAAAUGGAUUACAACGAAAAAUUAAAUACCAUUUCGACACUAUCAUCCAUUAACAAA
Drosophila suzukii is the source of this 472-nucleotide non-coding RNA. The record is from RefSeq and is a predicted model, not a curated record. NCBI's taxonomy places the organism in Eukaryota, Metazoa, Arthropoda, Insecta, Diptera, Drosophilidae.